GACGAACGCUGGCGGCGUGCUUAACACAUGCAAGUCGAACGCUGAAGCUCAGCUUUUGUUGGGUGGAUGAGUGGCGAACGGGUGAGUAACACGUGAGUAACCUGCCUCCUUCUUUGGGAUAACGCCCGGAAACGGGUGCUAAUACUGGAUAUUCACUGGUCUUCGCAUGGGGGUUGGUGGAAAGGGUUUUUCUGGUGGGGGAUGGGCUCGCGGCCUAUCAGCUUGUUGGUGGGGUGAUGGCCUACCAAGGCUUUGACGGGUAGCCGGCCUGAGAGGGUGACCGGUCACAUUGGGACUGAGAUACGGCCCAGACUCCUACGGGAGGAAGCAGGGGGGAAUAUUGCACAAUGGGCGCAAGCCUGAUGCAGCGACGCCGCGUGAGGGAUGGAGGCCUUCGGGUUGUGAACCUCUUUCGCUCAUGGUCAAGCCGCAACAAUGGUUGUGGUGAGGGUAGUGGGUAAAGAAGCGCCGGCUAACUACGUG
Molecule: ribosomal RNA, 483 nt
Filed under: uncultured bacterium
Lineage: Bacteria
Description: partial 16S ribosomal RNA
Rfam family: Bacterial small subunit ribosomal RNA
Source: RNAcentral